UGCCUACGGGAGGCAGCAGUGGGGAAUAUUGCACAAUGGGGGAAACCCUGAUGCAGCGACGCCGCGUGAGUGAAGAAGUAUUUCGGUAUGUAAAGCUCUAUCAGCAGGAACGAGACAAGACGGUACCUGACUAAGAAGCCCCGGCUAACUACGUGCUAGCAGCCGCGGUAAUACGGAGGAUGCGAGCGUUAUCCGGAUUUAUUGGGUUUAAAGGGUGCGCAGGCGGACCAUCAAGUCAGCGGUAAAAUCGUGGGGCCCAACCCCAUCCCGCCGUUGAAACUGGCGGUCUUGAGUGAGCGAGAAGU
This 305-nucleotide ribosomal RNA is filed under the name uncultured bacterium. RNAcentral's name for it is "bacterial SSU rRNA". It matches the Rfam family "Bacterial small subunit ribosomal RNA", at positions 335 to 658 of the family's 1533-position model. The record is from RNAcentral.